Molecule: ribosomal RNA, 321 nt
Filed under: Gibsmithia larkumii
Lineage: Eukaryota; Rhodophyta; Florideophyceae; Gigartinales; Dumontiaceae
Description: bacterial LSU rRNA
Rfam family: Bacterial large subunit ribosomal RNA
Source: RNAcentral
CUUUACUGUAGCUUGGAAUUGAGUUCGGGUUUAUUUUGCGCAGUAUAGGUGGGAGGCUAAGAUAAUAAGCUUGAGGGUUUAUUGGAGCCAAUAGUGAGAUACCACUCUAAAUAAACUAGAAUUCUAACUUUGAUAGUCGUUAACCGGCCAAAGAACAGUUUCAGGUGGGCAGUUUGACUGGGGCGGUCGCCUCCUAAAAGGUAACGGAGGCGUGCAAAGGUUCCUUCAGGCUGGUCGGAAAUCAGUCGUAGAGUGUAAAGGCAUAAGGGAGCUUGACUGCAAGACCUACAAGUCGAGCAGAGACGAAAGUCGGCCUUAGUG